AAAUCAAAAUAUUAUUACAGAAAAAAAAUUAUAAGACAAACUAAAGGGUCAAUUGCAAAACUAGCCAUAUUUGAUAAUUUAAUUAAGAAUAUAGCAUCAUAUACAUAUAAAUUAAAAAAAUAGCAUAUAAGGGUUGGGAAAAGACAAUUUUGAUGUGCAAUAGUUGAUGAGAGAUGAUUUACUAACACUUCAUUUAGUUUUCAUCUAUUUGUAUGUUUUUGUUAUAUAUCUUUUCCAAAAAAUUGAUUCUAAUUAUGAAAUUUAUAAGAUAAAAAUUUCUGCUUUUUUCUACAUACAACAUAGUUUAAAUUUUUAAAAUCGGAUUUGUAUUUAUAAAAUAGUAAAAAAUGUUUGUAAGUAAAUUUAUAUUGUACUAUUUAUGAUGUAUAGAAAUAGAAUGUUGUACUAUACUAUUUUCAUAAAUCAUUCGUAAUUUAGUUUUAAUUUUAGUAUAAAACAAAAUAUUUUAAAUUAAAUAAAGUAAUAGUGGUGGUAGUGGUGGUGAGAUAGUAGUUUAUGUUGCAAUAUUACCUACGAUAAUCGUAAAAGAUAAAACAUAGACGAUUUAAAUUACCGAGUUAAAGCGAUAUGAUCCCCAUUAAAAAACUAUACCCUAAGAGAUACAAUAUUGGGAACCCAAGCAAGCAAAUUAACUGUUGUAGUGACGGUAAUACGAUUGUAGUGACGACAAUACGGUUAUAGCAGUGAGCCACUGAUAAGGAUAAUGGUGACUUGGUAGUAGAGGUAAUGAUGUAAUAAUAUAGGUGAUAAUUGUAUUAUGAAUUUUAUUAUGUGUAAUAUUUUUUUUUGUUAUAAUAGAAUAGAAAGUACAUAUAGAAAAUAGAAGUAAAAGACAUUAAGAGAGAGAUUAAGAGAUAGAGAAAGGGAGAGAGAGAAAGAGAGAGAGGGAGAGAGAAAGAGAGAAAGAGAGAAAGAGAGAAAGAGAGAAAGAGAGAAAGAGAGAAAGAGAGAGGAAGGGAGGGAGAGAGAGAAAGAGAGAGAGGAAAAGAGAGAGAGGGAAAGAGAAAGAAAGAGGAAGGGGGCAAAAUUGUGAUUAAUACACAAAAUAUAAAGAAUAUCAUCUAGUUUUUGUUUUGAUGGUACUUUCUUAAUUAUAAAUUUU
This 1123-nucleotide small RNA is filed under the name Arabidopsis thaliana (thale cress). RNAcentral describes it as "ATSL217830". Lineage: Eukaryota; Viridiplantae; Streptophyta; Magnoliopsida; Brassicales; Brassicaceae. The record is from RNAcentral.